CGAACCUACAAGGAAAAAAACCCAGACACAUAGAAAUAUAUUUAAAAUGAAUUUAUUGAAUAUAUUUCUCUGUUUUAAAUUUUUGAUUCAGCUUGUCUAAAUUCUGCAAAAUUAUCUAUCAUUUCUUACAGAACACAUUUUUAUAAUAGUGUCAUAAAUGUGCAAUGACAAUAAAGAACCACAUUUUCAAUUUGCUUGCAUAAAACCCACCCAUAACACUUGCACACACUGCACACAUUUGCAUGCCCAAAUACUCAUUUGCAUGUUUAACUGUUUUGUAUGUGCAAAUCUACUUUUUGGUUUUGUGAGGACAACAGAUGCCCAUGCAAUAUUUGCAGGAGCAACUUAGGCAAUCGGUUUUGAAAGUAUGUUUCAAAAGCUUUACACAGCUUUCAAUAUUGUAGCACUUUUUACAUUGGUCAAGAGAUCAAAUAUCUAAACAGCUGACCCAAGAGCUAAAAGAAAGUCUUCAGAGAUGUCCAAUAAGUCACCAUGGCCUAUGUUGACUUCAUGCAUUAUGCAGAUACAUUGUGCAACCUUUUACACCAUGAAACUGGUCCUGCUAAACUAUGAACAAACUGUCCCCUCACUGAAAAUAUCAAAGCCUCUACUGGUAAAUACAGCCGUAUUGCCACUUGCUCUUUUCUUUCUCUGAUGCUAUGAUAAAGCAUAAUAUUUGAGAAGAUAUCCAUAGGUAUGAAGCUAGGAAACAUCUUUACAAAAUUCAGGGGAUCCAACAUAUUUUCUGACCUGUACCAUCAUUAUCUUUAGCUGUACCUGGCAUAUUCCCAAUUAUAUAAAUAUCUCGUAGUUACAGAAAACACAAGUAGAAACAAAAUCCAUUAGGUCAUUUAAUCUAACCCUCUACCGAUAAAAGAUUGUUUUCCGUCAUAUAUUUUCUGGUAUCUUGUCCAUUUUACUUUUAAUGUCUCAAAACACAGGGUGUAGCCUUCAUUUAUGCCUGGAAACUAUAUCACAGAUUAACGGAUUUUACUGUCCCAAUGUCUUGUUCUAAUCAUCAGCCUAAAUUUUUCCUUUCUUAAUUUCAUCUCCAGUACUCCCAGUUAUACCCCCUUGCUCCUUCUCUAAGAAGCUUCAUCAAAAAAUGCAAAGAAGCAACCAGGGUCUUUUCUAAAAACAGUGCAAAGUAAAACAAUUUAAAGCUGUAUUGCUCAGCUGCAAAUGGUAUAAAGAAUGGAAGCUGCAGAAAAGACUUCAGCUAUUUCUCUUCUCCUGCUCUUGAAUACUGAGCAAUGAUGAUUGCAGAGAUUUUGCAGCCUUCGGUAAUAGUCUGAUUCUGCUCCUACACUUUCAGUAGUUUCAUUUCACACAUCUUGAAGGUUGCUGGACAAUGUGAUUUUUCUUGGCCUGACCUGAAGACAGCGAUUUUGGAGCCUCUAGUCCCAGCACAAAUAUGAAAUGCCUAAAUUUACUACAGCUGCAAAUAUUAAUUCUCAAGAUUAAUAUGUUAAGGCCCAGAUUUUUAAAUAUAUUUAGGUAUUGCUGUGCUUACAGCUGCAAUGCCUAACUGGUUUAGGAACCUACAUCUCAUUUUCAAAAGUAAUUUAGGCAAUUUAUCUAAAACCAUCUAAGUUAAAUAGGAGUUUGUCUCCUAAUAGCCUAAAUCCCAUUAGAAAAUGAGAUUUAGGCUCCUAAAUCAGUUAGGAAUUGCAACACUGAGCAAAGCAAUGCUUAAGUACCUUUAAAAAUCUGGGCCAAAGAGACUACCCCUGCAAUAUUUUCCUUUACAUUUUACUGUUUACUGACAUGUUUGUUAAGGAGAGAUGGGAAAGGAGAAAUAAUCACGCAGAAGAGAACAAGGCAACUAUUUCUGCAUGAUGCCAGAUCAAAAUAUACAUUUAAAAAAAUGAAGACAAAUGGCAGCUAAAGAAACUGGUGAAUGUACUUGCUUUCUUUUUCAUCAGAUCUACUAUACUGAUGUCACUGCAUCUUUCCAGACUUCUUGAUGGAAUGAUCAGAUGUUCCCAGUACAAAAUGAGAACCAUGGCCUGCAUCUCUCUGAUGCAAGUGCUACUAUGCCCUAGAACAGAAGAAAUGUUGGGCCAGGACAAGCGACCUCCUUCCUGUUGUGCAGUGGCACUGAACGAAGCGUUCCAGUGAGAGAGAACAGUCAGAGGAUCAUUUUCAUGAAUGCUACAUUCACCCACAUACAUUUUAAAGAAAAAUGUAAUCAAUCAUGUAAUACAAGACAUGACUCUAUCAAGGGCUUCUAGUGAGAUCGUAUACAACGAAAGCAAACCUCUCAUCAGCAGAGCCCAGAUAAUGAAUUUCCCUCUGUCACGUUGCUGCAUGUUAAUUCUUUUUUGGCAGCUAAAGAUGGAAUAUUUCUAUAUGAAAUCAGCAAUAAGACAAUUAACAUCAGCAAUAAGAACAUAAAAUUUCACAUCCAUUGUAAUGUAAUUUUUUAAAAAAAGGUUUGCUGCUUUUUACAAAUCAUAUGAUAUUGGAAUAUAGUAAAAUGUUACCAUUAGGGCAGUAUAUUAGAUUGUCUCUAGUCCUAACUUGAAUUGCAACUGAACUUUCACCUAAAAAAUUCAUUCUGCUGAAGUGCCUUGGAAGCUGUAUUAGUUACAAAACUUUAAAGAAUCAGGAAACUUUAAAAAGAGGCAAAUAUUUUACUUUCCCUAGUAGGUAAAGAGGCUUUUCUUUUCUAGGAGAGAAGGUACAUUUUGGUUAGUCAGUAGAAACACGGCAGAGUGCGAACGGUAGUGAGCAGAGGUUAUCCAGAUUUAUAUCAGUGUAACUGAGAUUAGAAUAGUUUUUAGGAUGCAACACUGUUCAUUCAUUCUGUUCCAAUGGCAGUGUCCCUUGCCCUUCCGUUUAUUGAUGUUGUCCAAGCGCCAUUGUUCUUAUUCAUAUCCAACCCCAAAAGGGACCAUUAUAACCUCCUGUGCAACGAAGUCUGACCUCCUGUGCAACAAAGACCAUAGAACUUCCCAAAGAUAAUUCCUAGAGCAGAGCUUCUAGAAAAAACAU
Dermochelys coriacea (leatherback sea turtle) is the source of this 2997-nucleotide long non-coding RNA. RefSeq lists it as uncharacterized. The transcript has 3 exons. The record is from RefSeq and is a predicted model, not a curated record. NCBI's taxonomy places the organism in Eukaryota, Metazoa, Chordata, Testudines, Dermochelyidae.